Molecule: long non-coding RNA, 1825 nt
Organism: Actinia tenebrosa (Australian red waratah sea anemone)
Lineage: Eukaryota; Metazoa; Cnidaria; Anthozoa; Actiniaria; Actiniidae
Source: RefSeq, a predicted model, not a curated record
AAUUUAAAAAUCGGGAAACUUAAUCUGAAGCAGCCCUGCUAACGUCUGUAAUAGCCGGAGGAUUAGAUAGGGAGUCAACUAACCCACUACUACUACUGCUACUCCCUCCCUCGUCCAGGACAUCCUGUCUGAUCCUGUAUGGAAAUGACUAUUUAUUGUGGCUCCCCACAGAAGCAAGUCUGUUCUACCCACAAGUAUAGCACUGGCGAGGUUAUCUCUCUCGAUCAUGCAGCAAGUUCUGCCUCGGGGUCAAGAGAUCGUUUGAUAUAUUACUGGGCGUUUUCAUCUUGGUCUAGACAAACACACAAGUAAUCAUGCCAGAGGUGCUCUACAAAAUCGGUUCUAAGCAGGGAUUAUAGCCAUACGUGUCAAAUUUCAACGGUCGUUUCGAGAGGUUCUGGUGGAAGGAUAGCGACAAAGCUGGACAGCGAGUCACACAACAAUGUCACAAAACUGAUACAAGAAUAUAAAUUUUAAAUCUUAUUUGCAAAUAGAUUUUUAAAAUCACCGAUCCACCUAGAUAAAACGGUUAACUCUUAGUCUAUAGAAAUUGUAAUUGAAGAUUUUUUAUCUCACAGAUUCGACAUUAUAUUUAUUUAUAUCUUCCAACAGACUUACAGCGAUAAAAGAUAAGUCAUCUAAUUGACUUAACAAGUCUAGCAUCUGUCAACUAAGACUAAGCGACCUUGUAAUAAAUAGCACAUAAAAAGAGAGAUAUAGAGAUUGACCGUUAAGAUUUAAAAUCAUUUAAAGCUAAGUUCUACUGAAGUACGAGCGGUAAAUUUGAAGAAAUAAUUUCAAAGCAAGACAACUUAGACAACAGCUUCGAAGCAUACUUUCUUACGAGUUAUAAAGACUGUGACGCUAUUCCAAACUUCAGUUACUAUAAAUCAACCAUCGCCAAAAUACUUGAACUCUAGGCACAGUUAACAAGAUUAAAAAAACCGUUCAAUAUGAAGACCACUGUAGCAAUACUGUCCCUAUUCUGCCUGAUUUCGCUUUGCGAGUGUUACACCUCUCUACGUCCAGGGAACUGUAAUCUAUGCUAUAAAAGAUGCAAAGCGAGGGCUGCUGAUGGUUGCUUCUAUAGAUGUAGUAAUCGAGCCUCUCAUGAGAUGAUAUCUUUGUGUUUGGAAAUGUGUUAUAUGUCAGCCCUGGAUUACUGCAUGAAAACGAUCGUGUGCCGAGUAUAAAGCGUUUUCAUUCACGUGACAAGGCAUCCAUAUUUGUUUACCAGACAAUAGAAACUUUCUGCACAAUUUUUGCAUAAAAAUAGAGUUCAAUUCCACGAGGAUAGAAAAUUGUUUUGGUACACCAUUAUGGCUGCUGUGACGUCACGUGAAGACGCUUUAUACAUGUUUACUAUUGUGACGUAUUUCCAGUUAACCGGGGUCAAGGAUAUCAAUGAAGAAAUCUUUCGUUGACGACAGAAGACAUAUUUUGUCAGUUACGUUGUCGGGAUACUUGUCCCUUCAGUGCCAAUUUGUCGAGCUGCGACGUGCAAGAUGAAUCAAUCGAAAAUUGUUUUCCCUGAAGGAAAAUAUUAUAAACGUUUUCACCGAGCGUCAUCCCGCUUUUAUACCGGAAAUGACGUUUAACUUUGGUUGGCCUGUCUUAGUUAAAGGGAACCGGAUAUACGUCACAUGAUAUAAAUAAUGAUUUGUAUAUAUAUGAAUGAAGUGCAUAUGUAUUCUUAGAACGACUGAAGAAUAUGGUUUUGAAUUCAUUAGCACUGGGCUUCCAGUUAAUCAUUAUAGAUAGAAUUUGUGGUUUUGAAGUAGAUUACUGUAAUUUGUAUUGAAAAAAAAGUAUUAAAAAAGUUCCA